GCUGGUGCAUCCAUGACCUAUAUUUGGAUAUACGGGCUAUAAAAAGCCUUGGAACAAACAACCUCCUGCAGGACCCGGCUCCCCUGUCCCUGCUGUUGCUGCCGGCUUCAGGAGAGAGGAGCAAGCCCACUCCAGCUUUUAUUUCUCCUCUUGGUGUUCUCCAGGAAGAUGGCUAAAGGCAGCAUCUCCCUCCGCUCCCUGAAUGAGACGCUGAACAGCUUUUAUGACUCCAAACAGUGGUGACCACAAAAAUAGAUACUAGAGACCUGACCCAAGGGAGAAACACUGGAACUACUCCUGAAAGAAAAAAAGUGAAAAUUACAUCUGUGGUAAACUUCUUGAAGAAGUGUCUGAGUGAGUGAGUGAACAGGGAGAGCUUGGAGGCUGCACUGGCCUGGAAAAUAAAACCCACAUGACAGCUCUAAAA
Long non-coding RNA from Corapipo altera (White-ruffed manakin), 427 nucleotides. RefSeq lists it as uncharacterized. Lineage: Eukaryota; Metazoa; Chordata; Aves; Passeriformes; Pipridae. The record is from RefSeq and is a predicted model, not a curated record. The transcript is spliced from 2 exons.